AGUUCUUGUUCCCCAAACGAUGCUUGAGGAAUGCUACUACCAUCGCAAUAAACAGUUUCCGGUGCUGCGCUGAGGAACAGAUAUGCUAGUCAAAUUCUCAUCAGUACGAAUCAAGAGAAUGAACCUCGGCCUCGGAUGCUGGAGAACAUCCUGGUACCUUUGCACGUCUUUAUGGUGUUUAUAUGGUUUACAAGAAAUUGCAGCCAAUUUUCGCCGUUGAACGAAAAUAAAUGUUGUUUGCCUGUCUUCACUUUCUGGAUUCCAGUUU
Molecule: unclassified non-coding RNA, 268 nt
Filed under: Hevea brasiliensis (rubber tree)
Lineage: Eukaryota; Viridiplantae; Streptophyta; Magnoliopsida; Malpighiales; Euphorbiaceae
Source: RNAcentral